Molecule: long non-coding RNA, 281 nt
Filed under: Lathyrus oleraceus (garden pea)
Lineage: Eukaryota; Viridiplantae; Streptophyta; Magnoliopsida; Fabales; Fabaceae
Description: Pisum sativum (pea) long non-coding RNA (PSAT_LNC032754)
Source: RNAcentral
UUGCAUUUAUGUUUGCAUGCAUCAUAUUUUCAUCUGUGCUGGAUGUGGUUGUCUCUCUGUUGGGGUGGGAGUUACAAGAGGUAAAAGGCCCAAUACCCAGGCUAUGAGUGAACUCUAGGAUACCUAGGAAUAGAGGGAUUCUUGGGAAGCGGGUGGUAUUGCGCCACUUAGCGGAACAUGAUAUCACGAGCAGUUUAGAUCCUGAUGGGGUAUUAUUGGUACAUACAUCGGGUGUGCACAUGAUGAUAUUCUAUGAAAGGGUUGUUUAUCCUGCGUUUCUC